RNAcentral lists this ribosomal RNA (464 nucleotides) under uncultured bacterium. RNAcentral's name for it is "bacterial SSU rRNA". It matches the Rfam family "Bacterial small subunit ribosomal RNA", at positions 202 to 653 of the family's 1533-position model. The record is from RNAcentral.
GGAGGCUCUUCGGAGCUUUCGCUGGAGGAGGGGCUUGCGUCUGAUUAGCUAGUUGGAGGGGUAACGGCCCACCAAGGCGACGAUCAGUAGCCGGUCUGAGAGGAUGAACGGCCACAUUGGGACUGAGACACGGCCCAGACUCCUACGGGAGGCAGCAGUGGGGAAUCUUCCGCAAUGGACGAAAGUCUGACGGAGCAACGCCGCGUGAACGAUGACGGCCUUCGGGUUGUAAAGUUCUGUUAUACGGGACGAAUGGUACGACGGUCAAUACCCGUCGUAAGUGACGGUACCGUAAGAGAAAGCCACGGCUAACUACGUGCCAGCAGCCGCGGUAAUACGUAGGUGGCAAGCGUUGUCCGGAAUUAUUGGGCGUAAAGGGCGCGCAGGCGGCGUCGUAAGUCGGUCUUAAAAGUGCGGGGCUUAACCCCGUGAGGGGACCGAAACUGCGAUGCUAGAGUAUCGGA